RNAcentral lists this transfer RNA (73 nucleotides) under secondary endosymbiont of Heteropsylla cubana. RNAcentral describes it as "tRNA-Thr (CGT) (tRNA-Thr-CGT-1-1)". It matches the Rfam family "tRNA". Rfam says of the family: Transfer RNA (tRNA) molecules are approximately 80 nucleotides in length. Lineage: Bacteria; Pseudomonadati; Pseudomonadota; Gammaproteobacteria; Enterobacterales; Enterobacteriaceae. The record is from Rfam by way of RNAcentral.
GCCGAUAUAGCUCAAUCGGUAGAGCAGCGCAUUCGUAACGCGCAGGUUGUAGGUUCAAUACCUACUAUCGGCA